RNAcentral lists this ribosomal RNA (326 nucleotides) under uncultured Leptolinea sp. Its description in RNAcentral is "bacterial SSU rRNA". It matches the Rfam family "Bacterial small subunit ribosomal RNA", at positions 1041 to 1382 of the family's 1533-position model. The record is from RNAcentral. Lineage: Bacteria; Bacillati; Chloroflexota; Anaerolineae; Anaerolineales; Anaerolineaceae.
CUGCAUGGCUGUCGUCAGCUCGUGUCGUGAGAUGUCGGUUAAGUCCGCUAACGAGCGCAACCCUCGCUGUGUGUUAUAUGUGUCACACGGGACUGCCGGUCUUAAGCCGGAGGAAGGUGGGGAUGAUGUCAAGUCAGCAUGGCCUUUAUAUCCUGGGCUACACACACGCUACAAUGGCCAACACAAUAGGUUGCUAAGCCGCGAGGUGGCGCCAAUCCAUAAAGUUGGUCUCAGUUCAGAUUGUAGGCUGCAACCCGCCUGCAUGAAGAUGGAGUUGCUAGUAACCGCAGGUCAGCUAUACUGCGGUGAAUACGUUCCCGGGGCUU